UCCCCGGCAGCGCCCUGUGGGAGCGCUGCUCGCUGCCGGCGUGGCCGGGAGCCCCGGGCGAGGAGACGGGGAGCGUCCCCUCGACAUCGCAAGUGCGGGCUGAGAAAGUAGUUGCAGACACUUUUUCAGUAUUCCUCCUGACUGUGGCCUUUUCUGAGUCUUAUAUAUUUACCUCUUCUAUGUGUGUGGAAACGCUGUUGAAGAAUUGAAGUCAAGUCAUUUCUUAAUGUGUGAAUAAAAUGGGGAAGCUCUAGAACCUUGAGAAUAAU
This 269-nucleotide long non-coding RNA is filed under the name Athene cunicularia (burrowing owl). RNAcentral describes it as "lncRNA (ENSACUG00000005780.1)". The record is from RNAcentral. Lineage: Eukaryota; Metazoa; Chordata; Aves; Strigiformes; Strigidae.